UAAAACGUAGGGGACGAGCGUUAUCCGGAUUUACUGGGCGUAAAGCGCAUGUAGGUGGCGCGGAAAGUUGGACGUGAAAGCUCCCGGCUUAACUGGGAGAGGUCGUACAAAACUACCGUGCUUGAGGUUGGAAGAGGAGAGCGGAAUUCCCGGUGUAGUGGUGGAAUGCGUAGAUAUCGGGAGGAACACCAGUGGCGAAAGCGGCUCUCUGGUUCAAUACUGACACUGAGAUGCGAAAGCGUGGGGAGCGAACGGGAUUAGAUACCCCGGUAGUCCACGCUGUAAACGAUGGAUACUAGGUGUAGGCGGUCAUUAACCCCGUCUGUGCCGAAGCUAACGCGUUAAGUAUCCCGCCUGGGGACUACGGCCGCAAGGUUA
Molecule: ribosomal RNA, 378 nt
Filed under: uncultured bacterium
Lineage: Bacteria
Description: bacterial SSU rRNA
Rfam family: Bacterial small subunit ribosomal RNA
Source: RNAcentral